Molecule: small nucleolar RNA, 138 nt
Organism: Tachyglossus aculeatus (Australian echidna)
Lineage: Eukaryota; Metazoa; Chordata; Mammalia; Monotremata; Tachyglossidae
Source: RefSeq, a predicted model, not a curated record
CCCCUCUCGGGGUUGUACCUGGAGAGUUUCCAGUACUCUAGCAGUCUCAUUUACGGGAGGAAGAGUUAAGCAGAGACCUACCCAUUCCAUUCCUAGCUUGGCGAGUGGCUAGCGAGUGAAAGGCAAUCUGCUACAGAU